GUGGGGAAUCUUGCGCAAUGGGCGAAAGCCUGACGCAGCCAUGCCGCGUGAAUGAUGAAGGUCUUAGGAUUGUAAAAUUCUUUCACCGGGGACGAUAAUGACGGUACCCGGAGAAGAAGCUCCGGCUAACUUCGUGCCAGCAGCCGCGGUAAUACGAAGGGGGCUAGCGUUGCUCGGAAUUACUGGGCGUAAAGGGCGCGUAGGCGGACAGCUUAGUCAGAGGUGAAAGCCCAGGGCUCAACCUUGGAAUUGCCUUUGAUACUGGCUGGCUUGAGUACGGGAGAGGUGAGUGGAACUCCGAGUGUAGAGGUGAAAUUCGUAGAUAUUCGGAAGAACACCAGUGGCGAAGGCGACUCACUGGCCCGUUACUGACGCUGAGGCGCGAAAGCGUGGGGAGCAAACAGGAUUAGAUACCCUUGUAGUCC
Molecule: ribosomal RNA, 425 nt
Filed under: uncultured bacterium
Lineage: Bacteria
Description: partial 16S ribosomal RNA
Rfam family: Bacterial small subunit ribosomal RNA
Source: RNAcentral